AUUAAAGGAAAUAAGAGCGCACAGUGGAUGCCUAGGCACCAAGAGCUGAUGAAGGACGCAAUUAACGGCGAUACGCUACGGGGAGCUGUAAAUAAGUGUAGAUCCGUGGAUUUCCGAAUGGGGCAACCUACUAUAAGAAGUUAUAGUAUCAAUUGUUAGGCAACUAACUGAUUGAAAGGAACGCAGUGAACUGAAAUAUCUAAGUAACUGCAGGAACAGAAAGUAAUAACGAUUCCGGUAGUAGUGACGAGCGAAUCCGGAACAGCCGGAUACCAAUAACUAGUUACCAAAUUUUAAUUAACUCGAAAUAGUUGGAAAGCUAUAUCCCAGAAGGUGAAAAUCCUGUAGAGGUAAGUUAAAAUCUAGGGUAUCCUCAAGUACGGCGAGACACGAGAAAUCUUGUUGGAAGAUAGGAGGACCAUCUCCUAAGGCUAAAUACUCCUUGGUGACCGAUAGUGAACUAGUACCGUGAGGGAAAGGUGAAAAGAACCCCGGAAGGGGAGUGAAAUAGAUCCUGAAACUGUGUGCUUACAAGUAGUCAAAGCUCGUUUAAGAGUGAUGGCGUGCCUUUUGCAGAAUGAACCGGCGAGUUAUGAUAUAGAGCAAGGUUAAGUUUGAAGGAACGUAGCCGUAGCGAAAGCGAGUCUGAAUAGGGCGUUUAGUUGUAUGUCAUAGACCCGAAACUGAAGUGAGCUAGCCAUGAACAGGCUGAAGUGACGUGACCGACGUNNNNNNNNNNNNNNNNNNNNNNNNNNNNNNNNNNNNNNNNNNNNNNNNNNNNNNNNNNNNNNNNNNNNNNNNNNNNNNNNNNNNNNNNNNNNCCGCGUCAUGGAGGGCCGAACCAGGACACGUUGAAAAGUGUUUGGAUGAUUUGUGGCUAGAGGUGAAAUUCCAAUCGAACUCAGAGAUAGCUGGUUCUCCCCGAAAUAGCUUUAGGGCUAGCGUUGGGUAUUUAAUAGUUCUUGAAGGUAGAGCACUAAAUGAGUGCGGGCUCCACCUCGGGGUACCAAUCUCAAUUAAACUCCGAAUGUCAAGAACCGUAUCCCAGCAGUCAGACGAUGGGUGAUAAGGUCCAUGGUCAAAAGGGAAAGAGCCCAGACCGUCAGCUAAGGUCCCUAAAUUAAUGUUAAGUGGUUAAGGAAGUAAAAACGUUAAAACAAUUAGGAAGUUGGCUUAGAAGCAGCCAUCUUUUAAAGAGUGCGUAAUAGCUCACUAAUCUAAUAUUUUUGCACCGAAAAUGUAACGGGGCUAAACAUUAUACCGAAGCUACGGAUAUGUUCCGGCUAGUAAUAGCUAAGGAACAUGUGGUAGGGGAAGCGUUCUAACAUCGUAGAAGCUAUAGCGGAAGCAGUAGUGGAGAGGUUAGAAGUGAGAAUGCCGGUGUAAGUAACGAAAAGAUAGAUGAGAAUUCUAUCCGUCGAAAACCCAAGGUUUCCAGGGGCAGGGUCGUCCGCCCUGGGUUAGUCAGGAACUAAGGCGAGGCAGCAAUGCGUAGUCGAUGACCAGCAGGCUAAAAUUCCUGCACUAAAAAAAUCACUGAUGGAGGGACAAAAGAGGAUAAGCACGCCCUUUAUUGGAUUAGGGUCGAAAAAUCGAGUUUGAGAAGAUAGGCAAAUCCGUCUUCUUACUUGCCAAAAAAUGAGAUUUGAGGGUAACGUGACUGUGUUCAUAUUUUCUAGAAAAGCUUCUAGGGUUAAUGAUUUUUUUACCUGUACCGUAAACCGACACAGGUGGGAAGGUAGAGUAUACUAAGACGCGCGAGAAAACUCUUGUUAAGGAACUCGGCAAAAUGACUCCGUAACUUCGGGAUAAGGAGAGCUUUUAUGAUAAAAAGUAAAAGCCGCAGAGAAUAGGCCCAAGCGACUGUUUAUCAAAAACACAGGUCUCUGCUAAACCGUAAGGUGAUGUAUAGGGGCUGAUGCCUGCCCGGUGCUGGAAGAUUAAGAGGAGAUGUUCGGGCUUGCCCAAAGCAUUGAAUUGAAGUCCCAGUGAACGGCGGCCGUAACUAUAACGGUCCUAAGGUAGCGAAAUUCCUUGUCGGGUAAAUUCCGACCUGCACGAAAGGCAUAACGAUUUGGGCGCUGUCUCAACAAGAGUCUCGGUGAAAUCAAAUUACCGGUGAAAAUGCCGGUUACCCGCGACAGGACGAAAAGACCCCAUGGAGCUUUACUGUAGCUUAAUAUUGGAAUUGGAAAUCUCAUGUACAGGAUAGGUGGGAGACAGAGAACUUUAGACGCUAGUUUAAAGGGAGUCACCGGUGGGAUACCACUCUUGAGAUUUUUAGUUUCUAACCUGCAUAAGUGGAUUAUGAGGGACAGUGUUUGGUGGGCAGUUUGACUGGGGCGGUCGCCUCCUAAAAAGUAACGGAGGCGUUCAAAGGUUCCCUCAAAAUGGUCAGAAAUCAUUUUUAGAGCGUAAAGGUAUAAGGGAGCUUGACUGUGAGACCUACAAGUCGAGCAGGGACGAAAGUCGGACUUAGUGAUCUUGCGGUACCGAAUGGAAGGGCCGUGACUCAACGGAUAAAAGCUACCCUGGGGAUAACAGCCUUAUCGCCCCCGAGCGUUCACAGCGACGGGGCGGUUUGGGACCUCGAUGUCGGCUCAUCGCAUCCUGGAGCUGGAGCAGGUUCCAAGGGUUGGGCUGUUCGCCCAUUAAAGCGGUACGCGAGCUGGGUUCAGAACGUCGUGAGACAGUUCGGUCUCUAUCCGUCGUGGGCGUUGGAAAUUUGCGAGGAACUGUCCCUAGUAUGAGAAGACCGGGAUGGAUAUACCGCUGGUGCACCAGUUGGUUCGCCAGAGCCAUAGCUGGGUAGCUAUGUAUAGUAUGGAUAAACACUGAAAGCAUCUAAGUGUGAAGCCUCCCUCAAGAUGAGAUUUCCCUAAGAGAUCCCUGAAAGACGAUCAGGUUGAUAGGCUAGAAGUGGAAGAGUAGUGAUAUUUGGAGCUGACUAGUACUAAUAGAUCCAACGACUUUGAUGA
RNAcentral lists this ribosomal RNA (2978 nucleotides) under 'Vigna radiata' phytoplasma. Its description in RNAcentral is "23S ribosomal RNA". It matches the Rfam family "Bacterial large subunit ribosomal RNA". The record is from RNAcentral. Lineage: Bacteria; Bacillati; Mycoplasmatota; Mollicutes; Acholeplasmatales; Acholeplasmataceae.